GAAAAUAUAAAUAUUCAAUGUCACAAAAGCUUGAUAACACGUGCAACCAAAUAUAAAGCACUAUAAAAGGCUAAUACUAAUAUGAAGCUCUCAUUUUCAGGUCUCGGGGCAGAUUCAGCCAUUUUAAAAAGGGAGGUUCCAAUCCAUGACAAAAGGGGGAGGGCUUCCAACUAUAUGCCCCAUUUCAAAUUCAUUUAUCGGCCGAAAAAAGGGGAACUUCCAAUCCGGACCCUCCCCCCUGAAUCCGCCACUGGAACUUCAAAAAAUAAUUGUCAAGAU
Molecule: long non-coding RNA, 279 nt
Filed under: Mytilus galloprovincialis (Mediterranean mussel)
Lineage: Eukaryota; Metazoa; Mollusca; Bivalvia; Mytilida; Mytilidae
Source: RNAcentral